GAUGAACGCUGGCGGCGUGCCUAAUACAUGCAAGUCGAGCGAACAGACGAGGAGCUUGCUCCUUCGACGUUAGCGGCGGACGGGUGAGUAACACGUAGGUAACCUACCUAUAAGACUGGGAUAACUUCGGGAAACCGGAGCUAAUACCGGAUAAUAUUUCGAACCGCGUGGUUCGAUAGUGAAAGAUGGCUUUGCUAUCACUUAUAGAUGGACCUGCGCCGUAUUAGCUAGUUGGUAAGGUAACGGCUUACCAAGGCAACGAUACGUAGCCGACCUGAGAGGGUGAUCGGCCACACUGGAACUGAGACACGGUCCAGACUCCUACGGGAGGCAGCAGUAGGGAAUCUUCCGCAAUGGGCGAAAGCCUGAUGGAGCAACGCCGCGUGAGUGAUGAAGGUCUUCGGAUCGUAAAACUCUGUUAUUAGGGAAGAACAAACGUGUAAGUAACUGUGCACGUCUUGACGGUACCUAAUCAGAAAGCCACGGCUAACUACGUG
RNAcentral lists this ribosomal RNA (497 nucleotides) under uncultured bacterium. Its description in RNAcentral is "partial 16S ribosomal RNA". It matches the Rfam family "Bacterial small subunit ribosomal RNA", at positions 28 to 507 of the family's 1533-position model. The record is from RNAcentral.